This 31-nucleotide non-coding RNA is filed under the name Mus musculus (house mouse). The record is from RNAcentral. Lineage: Eukaryota; Metazoa; Chordata; Mammalia; Rodentia; Muridae.
UAAAAAGGUGAGUCCUACAUUGUGAAUGGCU